AUGCAAAUAGACCAGGCUCGUAUAGAGAUGCUUAGAAUAAAGAUGGAUGCCGCAGCCAAAAGGGUAAGGGCUGAGACUUUGGCCAAGGCCAUAAUUGAGCCACUCACAGAAGAAAAUGUAACCCAGUUACCAAUACAGGAUCCUUCUGCCAAAGUGUUUGCGCACCUUGGCAGCAUGAACAGCCAGUUUUCGGAUGAGGAACAGGGAGACUUCUCUCCUUACCCAGAGCAGGGUCCCAAAGUCACUUUUGAGUUUCCUGCAGAGCAGAGCGUCAUAGCGGGGAGCUCACCCUUGCUCGAGCUACCUGUGCCUCCUGCUAAAACCCUAGGUCAGUCAAUCAGGGCCUCAAGGCCGAGCGCUAGUUGGCCCCUACAGACAGCUGCACAGGGAACCAUCGAUUCGUCAGUGGUCGAUGUCAUCCCUCCAAGAGGCCAAAGGUUGACGCAAGGUACACGGUGGGAGUCCACUCCACAACAGCAAACUCCUCAAUUGUUCCCUUCGACGCCAGAGUCCCAGCUUGUCUCCAUCAUCAGAAGCCCCAGAAGAGAUCUUAAGGACAAGGGUGUCGAAAGGUUUUCGGACAAGCCUGAGGAAUUUCUUCUCUGGAAGGCCACCUUCCAGAGAGCAAUCAGAGACUUAAAGUUAUUGCCUGAGGAAGAACUGACUCUUCUGGCUGCAUGGUUGGGCCCAGCCUCAUCCUCACAAGUUAAGAAGAUCUACGCAGCCCACGUAGCCGAUCCCGACAAAGCCCUGGAAAAGGCCUGGGCCAGGUUGCAGCAGAGGUAUGGGGCCAGCACAGAGAUUGAAGCAUCUCUUAUGGACAAGCUCCAAAGGUUCCCAGCUUUAAAACUCAAAGACUUCAAACUCUUGUGGGACCUCAGCGAUCUCCUUGCGGAAUUAGAGUCGGCCAAGGAGAAUCCAGAACUGCCCGGUUUGAAGUGCCUCGAUCAGCACCUGUCCCAGAGGCAGAUCUUGACCAAGCUGCCCUUCACUUUGCAAGAACGCUGGGGACAGGAGGUCUUCAACUACAAGGAGGCCCACUCCCAGGCAAGCCCUCCAUUUCUCAUUUGUCCAGUUCAUCACCAGGGCAGCCAGAGAAAGGAAUGA
RNAcentral lists this long non-coding RNA (1107 nucleotides) under Anolis carolinensis (green anole). RNAcentral describes it as "lncRNA (ENSACAG00000029599.2)". Lineage: Eukaryota; Metazoa; Chordata; Lepidosauria; Squamata; Anolidae. The record is from RNAcentral.